GGCGAAAGCCUGAUCCAGCCAUGCCGCGUGUGUGAAGAAGGUCUUCGGAUUGUAAAGCACUUUAAGUUGGGAGGAAGGGCAGUAAGUUAAUACCUUGCUGUUUUGACGUUACCAACAGAAUAAGCACCGGCUAACUUCGUGCCAGCAGCCGCGGUAAUACGAAGGGUGCAAGCGUUAAUCGGAAUUACUGGGCGUAAAGCGCGCGUAGGUGGUUCAGCAAGUUGGAUGUGAAAUCCCCGGGCUCAACCUGGGAACUGCAUCCAAAACUACUGAGCUAGAGUACGGUAGAGGGUGGUGGAAUUUCCUGUGUAGCGGUGAAAUGCGUAGAUAUAGGAAGGAACACCAGUGGCGAAGGCGACCACCUGGACUGAUACUGACACUGAGGUGCGAAAGCGUGGGGAGCAAACAGG
This 410-nucleotide ribosomal RNA is filed under the name uncultured Pseudomonadaceae bacterium. RNAcentral describes it as "SSU rRNA". It matches the Rfam family "Bacterial small subunit ribosomal RNA", at positions 374 to 776 of the family's 1533-position model. The record is from RNAcentral. Lineage: Bacteria; Pseudomonadati; Pseudomonadota; Gammaproteobacteria; Pseudomonadales; Pseudomonadaceae.